UACGUAGGGGGCUAGCGUUGUCCGGAAUCAUUGGGCGUAAAGAGCGUGUAGGCGGUCCGGUAAGUCCGUUGUGAAAGUCGGGGGCUCAACCCUCGAAUGCCGGUGGAUACUGUCGGGCUAGAGUGCGGAAGAGGCGAGUGGAAUUCCUGGUGUAGCGGUGAAAUGCGCAGAUAUCAGGAAGAACACCCGUGGCGAAGGCGGCUCUCUGGGACGGUACUGACGCUGAGACGCGAAAGCGUGGGGAGCGAACAGG
This 253-nucleotide ribosomal RNA is filed under the name uncultured bacterium. Its description in RNAcentral is "partial 16S ribosomal RNA". It matches the Rfam family "Bacterial small subunit ribosomal RNA", at positions 524 to 776 of the family's 1533-position model. The record is from RNAcentral.